CUUCUAUGCUGCCGGGUUGGGAUCGGCCCGCGUCCCAUUAGCUAGUUGGUGAGGUAACGGCUCACCAAGGCCACGAUGGGUAGCCGGCCUGAGAGGGUGUACGGCCACACUGGCACUGAGACAAGGGCCAGUCCCCUAUGGGAGGCGCAGGCGGGAAUAGUUCACAAUGGGCGAAAGCCUGAUGACGCGACGCCGCGUGAGCGAAGAAGACCUUCGGGUUGUAAAGCUCUGUCAGGAGGGAAGAAGGCUCUACGGGUCAAUAGCCCGUGGGAUUGACGGUACCUCCAGAGGAAGCCCCGGCUAAAUACGUGCCAGCAGCCGCGGUAAUACGUAUGGGGCAAGCGUUGUCCGGAUUUACUGGGCGUAAAGGGCGCGUAGGCGGUUUGUUAAGUCGAAGGUGAAAUCCUCGGGCUCAACUCGAGAAUUGCCUUCGAUACUGGCAAACUAGAGUGGCGGAGAGGAAAGCGGAACUCUUGGUGUAACGGUGGAAUGUGUAGAUAUCAAGAGGAACACCGGUGGCGAAGGCGGCUUUCUGGACGCACACUGACGCUCAGGCGCGAAGGCGUGGGUAGCAAACAGGAUUAGAUACCCUGGUAGUCCACGCCAUAAACGAUGGGUACUAGGUGUCGGGGGUAUCGACCCCUCCGGUGCCGCAGUUAACGCACUAAGUACCCCGCCUGGGGAUUAUGGUCGCAAGGCUGAAACUCAAAGGAAUUGACGGGGCCCCGCACAAGCGGUGGAGCAUGUGGUUUAAUUCGACGCAACGCGAAGAACCUUACCUGGGCUUGACAUGCUUGGGACAGCGCUGGAAACAGCGUCUCUCCUUCGGGAGCCCUUGCACAGGUGCUGCAUGGCUGUCGUCAGCUCGUGUCGUGAGAUGUUGGGUUAAGUCCCGCAACGAGCGCAACCCUCGUUACUAGUUGCCAUCAGUUCGGCUGGGCACUCUAGUGAGACUGCCGGUGAUAAACCGGAGGAAGGUGAGGAUGAUGUCAAGUCAUCAUGGCCCUUACGCCCAGGGCUACACACGUGCUACAAUGGUCGGCACAAAGGGUCGCUAAGCCGCGAGGUGGAGCUAAUCCCAAAAAGCCGGCCUCAGUUCGGAUUGGA
Molecule: ribosomal RNA, 1107 nt
Filed under: uncultured organism
Description: bacterial SSU rRNA
Rfam family: Bacterial small subunit ribosomal RNA
Source: RNAcentral